This 52-nucleotide ribosomal RNA is filed under the name Cinnamomum camphora (camphor tree). Its description in RNAcentral is "partial 18S ribosomal RNA". The record is from RNAcentral. Lineage: Eukaryota; Viridiplantae; Streptophyta; Magnoliopsida; Laurales; Lauraceae.
UCCGUAGGUGAACCUGCGGAAGGAUCAUUGCCGUCUCUGGAACCACCACCGG